UUGUUCAUCUAGGAAAACUUGCAGAAGACAACGUUCAAGGUCAGAACAUUCUCUCUCAAUUUAUGCGAACAGGAGCAGCUAACAGGGGAGUUUGGCGACGGAGUUCUCCAGGUGAAGAAGGAGCGAUUACGUGACCCUUGGGCGCACACAGCUCAGCAAAGCAGCAGUAUCCGGCAGAAGCGGGGCAUGCAGCCACUGCCAUGACAACCCCAAGGGCAGGAGGUGACCAGAGAUGGAUCACAGGCACAGGGAGCAGAAAGCCCCCACCAAUCCAAGCCCCAAGGAUGAGGCGGCAGCAGCGCUGACAAAGCUGUGUCAAGCUGCUGAAAGACCAAGGUGUUACGGAAGCCUGCAUUCUUCAGAUCCAGGUUUCUCAGGACGUGUCAAAUGGACAUAGUUUUCUUCACUGCCAAGGCUAGUUACCGGACCCGAAUGCGGAUAGUAAGGACAAUGGCGAAGGAUGCAGAACUGUACCCAAGAGAAGCAGUAUUCACGUGCCCGCGGGCUGUGGCCAGAGGAUCUGCUGGAGUGGAAGCUGCCCUGGGCGCUGACGGGCUGUGGGGUGUCACCCACGUUUGUUACUGAUCCCUGAGAGGACCUUCCCUAUUAUCCCGUGACUUUUUAAAGUAUAAGGUAUUGGAUCAGCUCAGUAUGGCACGAACAAGGAAGAAAGCCGGUGGCAACAGUAAGAGGAAAACUAACCAUGUAGCUCAGCAGUAUGAUUCAGUCCAUAUUUCAGUUGUUCAGCAUGGGACUCAUCAACAUGAGGAAAUGAACCAUAUAACACAAAAUUCAUUAUUGUCAUUAUUUUUGAAAAUGUUAUACUGGGUGUGAACAGCCAUAAUUUCCUAGAGACCUUGCUUUACAUUUCAAUCCACACAUACGUGGGAGCGACAUAAAAGUAACUAUAGCAGCCUUGUUUCACCAAAUCCAAUGGCUAUUUGCAGAGUUCAUGGGUUUCCCUUGGAUAUUAUGAUCGUAGAUUCACACACCUUCCUAUCUGGAUCUGGUCCGUAAAUAAUCUGAAUUGAUUCAAGUCUCUUUACGUAAAUUUGGUAUUAUUCCUAAAUAUGCUUUCCAUGCAGGAAGUUCUUUUUGUCUCUUUCCCUACACAGACCAGUCCUAACCUUGUUGCUGUCUGUCACCAUACCCUUUACAAGUUCCUUUAAAUGUAACUUUCUCUUACUUGUGAAUUAAGUUGGUCAGUCCAUCCUACAGAACAAUAAAAAUUCUUCUGCCUGGAUACGUACUUACUCUCCCUUAUGGUAAUUCAUAUACUAAAUACCAACUCCAGCUUUCCCACACAUGACAUUGUCUUUUACCUGGUGAAUGUACUAACAUGUCGUAAGACAAUGCUCAGGCUGCUAGUGAACACUGUUUAUGCUGACAAAUAAUGUUUCGUUGUUAUUGUGGUCCCCCGUCUGUCUGUAUCUACUUGUUGUCUCUUGUCUCUGACAGAAUGUACUUCUGUAUUCACACACUAUUGUAAUAAUCUUUGUACAGAGUAUGCCUUGUAAGGUAUCAUUUGAAAACUCAUAAUUUGCUGAUCAUUAUUGUCUCGGUAAAGUAUGUGCAGCAACAUUGUAUGUGAAGUUAUA
Long non-coding RNA from Chrysemys picta bellii (western painted turtle), 1598 nucleotides. RefSeq lists it as uncharacterized. NCBI's taxonomy places the organism in Eukaryota, Metazoa, Chordata, Testudines, Emydidae. The record is from RefSeq and is a predicted model, not a curated record.